Molecule: long non-coding RNA, 851 nt
Organism: Notolabrus celidotus (New Zealand spotty)
Lineage: Eukaryota; Metazoa; Chordata; Actinopteri; Labriformes; Labridae
Exons: 2
Source: RefSeq, a predicted model, not a curated record
UCUCUGCUGUGGUCAGGAAACUACUUUAUGAGUUAUGUAAAGAGAAGCUUGAAUGGCCAACAGCAAAGAAAAAAUAUUGAUUGCUGUGUGUGCUGUGAUGUUGGUGAGCUGAUAUCACAAGAGGAGAGAAGAGGCAGAGGUGGGAUGUAUAUCUCCACUCUCAGCAGCUCCAUCUAGGGGAGCAGAGAGGAGCCUGACUUCUUCUCAGGAGGCCAUGUUGCUACAGGGUCCAGUCUGACACCGGGCCUUGGUUUUGGAUAAUGGUGCCCAGAGGGCCACAGCACAGGGUAGCGCCCGGGGUCAGAGGAACAGGCAGAUUAAGGAGAGGAGGUGUUGAGGUUGUCACCUCGGGGUCUCCACCCACACAAGGAGAAGAUGCUGAGACCAGACCCUGCCAUCAUUCAAAGCAGAUGGCAUUUUUCUCAAUGUGUCAGGGCUUAUUUUUGGGAUGCAGCCCCUGGCAGGCCCUGGAUAGACUAGUUAUUAGGCAUGUACGCUUAUAAUUUUGCCAAACCACCAAGGGUUUGGACACAAACCCUGAAGCCUCAAACUGAAAGCCUUUCCUCCCUUUUUUUCUCUGCCUUCCUGUCAGAGCAUUGAGCAAAGGCAAAGGAAAUGAAGAUUGUGAGAAUGGCUUUACAUGAGAAAAGCUAAUGUGGUCUUGCCAAGCAGAGGGCUGCAUGCUGACAACUGUGUACUUCAAGUGCACUCUUGCUCUUGAGGUCUGGGACCCCUACUGGGUCCACACACUAAAGACUACAAACUCUGUCACUUGAAAUAUCUAUGAGAAAAACUUUUAAAUGCAUGUUUUAAUUUGUAAACUUGUUAAAGAAGAAACCAUUUAAGUUGAA